RNAcentral lists this unclassified non-coding RNA (200 nucleotides) under soil metagenome. RNAcentral describes it as "partial contains internal transcribed spacer 2 and large subunit ribosomal RNA". The record is from RNAcentral.
ACUUGGAGUGUGCCGGACUUUUUCUGUUCAGCUCCUCUCAAAACGCAUAUGUGGAACCUUUGCUGAUCUGCUCCAGCGUGAUAAUUAUCUACGUUGCAAGCCGUGAAGCGGUUGGGAUCUGCCUACAACCGUCGACUUCUGUCGACAACACAACAUGACAAUUUGACCUCAAAUCAGGUAGGAUUACCCGCUGAACUUAA